Molecule: transfer RNA, 69 nt
Filed under: Trachidermus fasciatus (roughskin sculpin)
Lineage: Eukaryota; Metazoa; Chordata; Actinopteri; Perciformes; Cottidae
Description: tRNA-Tyr
Rfam family: tRNA
About the family: Transfer RNA (tRNA) molecules are approximately 80 nucleotides in length. Their secondary structure includes four short double-helical elements and three loops (D, anti-codon, and T loops). Further hydrogen bonds mediate the characteristic L-shaped molecular structure. tRNAs have two regions of fundamental functional importance: the anti-codon, which is responsible for specific mRNA codon recognition, and the 3' end, to which the tRNAs corresponding amino acid is attached (by aminoacyl-tRNA synthetases). tRNAs cope with the degeneracy of the genetic code in two manners: having more than one tRNA (with a specific anti-codon) for a particular amino acid; and 'wobble' base-pairing, i.e. permitting non-standard base-pairing at the 3rd anti-codon position.
Source: RNAcentral
GGUAGGAUGGCUGAGCAUAAGCGGUGGAUUGUAGACCCACAUACAGAGGUUCGAACCCUCUUCUUACCA